This 71-nucleotide transfer RNA is filed under the name Planctomycetota bacterium. Its description in RNAcentral is "Planctomycetes bacterium tRNA-Gln". It matches the Rfam family "tRNA". From Rfam's summary of the family: Transfer RNA (tRNA) molecules are approximately 80 nucleotides in length. Their secondary structure includes four short double-helical elements and three loops (D, anti-codon, and T loops). The record is from RNAcentral. Lineage: Bacteria; Pseudomonadati; Planctomycetota.
UCGGGGAUCGGCUAACGGCAGGCCGCCUGGCUUUGAACCAGGCAGUGGUGGUUCGAGUCCAUCUCCCUGAG